GAUAUACUAAGCCUCUUGAGUCUAUGCAGAUUGUGUAUGCACAUAUCAAGAGGUAAACUACUAGACAAACUAUUACUCCUUAGUUCCAAAACUUCUAGAAAUGACAUGUUGAAGAUAGAUGGGGGAAUGGGGCCAUGAAAAGAGUUACGAUUCGCAUAAAAAGAGACAAGGAAAGAAAGAUUUCCAAUUUCUGGCGGGAGGGUUCCGACAAGACCCAUGUACGAUAUAUUCAACUGAGUAACCCUAUUGUAAUGUGAAUCACAAGUAACUCCGAUCCAACUACAAACACUGGCUUCAGUGCUCCAAUUUUGGGUCAAUAUAUUUUGAGGAUCUAAAGUGAUUUGAGAUUUCAAGGCAAGAAGUGAAGAACGAUCGGUGUUGAUAUCGUGUUUGGCUGAGCUAGAAUCCAUCAAAUAAUGGAUUGGUAAGAGUAGUGCAAGGAUGAGAAAAUGGGGAGAUUUUUGCAUUUUUUGGCUUGAUUUUGACAGUAGUAAUUUUUUAGAAUAUUGAACUAUGAAAUCUAUAGACGUGUAUAUAUAGAGUGUGUGUGGAUAUGAUGGGCAAAUGGGAAGGAUUAAUGAUGAAAGUAGGAAAUGCAGAGUUUCCUUUUAUCAAAGCUAAAAUAAUAUUUUCCCAUUGGAAAAGACGAAGAAAAUAAUUGUGGAACUAUAAAGAGUGAUUUUUGGAGGCAAAAGCAACUAAGACUAACCCAAAUCUUAAAAAAUGACCCUAAUAUUCAUAUUAAAAUAGCAUUAUAAGUUUUGGUCGUGAUCAGAGGGCUACGUCAGUUGAAUAAACAACAAAACAUGUUUGUUUAUUUGAAGUGGUAGAAUAACAUUCAAAAGUAGAAGAUAUUCUCUAUUUUUAUAAUAGAUUUGGGAGACUUUAAAUCCCCCUUUUUUUGAUCUUUGAAUAAGAUAUAAUAAAGGGUAAUUCACACUUCGCAAUCUAAAACCAAGCUCUACGCAAUUGCCCCCUUAAAAUAGAGCAAUUGUUGCAAUUUGAAUUCGAGUUAUUUUGAAUAAUAAUAAUAAUAAUAAUAAGCUCUUGGUAACGACGAAAUUUAUUCAAAUUCAAACUAUUAUUCCAUAGAUCCAAAACCUCUAGUGACGACAUGUUGAAGAUAGAUGGGGGAAUGGGGCCAUGAAAGUAGUUCCCGUUCGCUACUAAAGAAACGAGAGAAGAAAGAUUCCCAAUUUCUGGUGGGAGGGUUCCGACAAGACCCAUGUCCGAUAUAUUCAACUGAGUCACCCUAUUGUAAUGUGAAUCACAAGUAACUCCGAUCCAACUACAAACACUGGCUUUAGUGCU
Molecule: long non-coding RNA, 1311 nt
Filed under: Salvia miltiorrhiza (redroot sage)
Lineage: Eukaryota; Viridiplantae; Streptophyta; Magnoliopsida; Lamiales; Lamiaceae
Description: long non-coding RNA (SMIL_LNC007311)
Source: RNAcentral